GCCGGGUGUAGUGGCGUGCACCUGUAGUCCCAGCUACUUGGGACGCUGAGGCAGGAGAAUCACUUGAGCCCAGGAGGCAGAGGUUGCAGUGAGCCGAGAUCGUGCCACUGCACUCAGGCCUGGGCAACACAGUGAGACUCUGUCUCUA
RNAcentral lists this signal recognition particle RNA (148 nucleotides) under Gorilla gorilla gorilla (western lowland gorilla). RNAcentral's name for it is "Metazoan signal recognition particle RNA". It matches the Rfam family "Metazoan signal recognition particle RNA". Rfam says of the family: The signal recognition particle (SRP) is a universally conserved ribonucleoprotein. It is involved in the co-translational targeting of proteins to membranes. The eukaryotic SRP consists of a 300-nucleotide 7S RNA and six proteins: SRPs 72, 68, 54, 19, 14, and 9. The record is from Rfam by way of RNAcentral. Lineage: Eukaryota; Metazoa; Chordata; Mammalia; Primates; Hominidae.